This 497-nucleotide ribosomal RNA is filed under the name uncultured bacterium. RNAcentral's name for it is "partial 16S ribosomal RNA". It matches the Rfam family "Bacterial small subunit ribosomal RNA", at positions 28 to 507 of the family's 1533-position model. The record is from RNAcentral.
GAUGAACGCUGGCGGCGUGCCUAAUACAUGCAAGUCGAGCGAACGGACGAGAAGCUUGCUUCUCUGAUGUUAGCGGCGGACGGGUGAGUAACACGUGGAUAACCUACCUAUAAGACUGGGAUAACUUCGGGAAACCGGAGCUAAUACCGGAUAAUAUUUUGAACCGCAUGGUUCAAAAGUGAAAGACGGUCUUGCUGUCACUUAUAGAUGGAUCCGCGCUGCAUUAGCUAGUUGGUAAGGUAACGGCUUACCAAGGCAACGAUGCAUAGCCGACCUGAGAGGGUGAUCGGCCACCCUGGAACUGAGACACGGUCCAGACUCCUACGGGAGGCAGCAGUAGGGAAUCUUCCGCAAUGGGCGAAAGCCUGACGGAGCGACGCCGCGUGAGUGAUGAAGGUCUUCGGAUCGUAAAACUCUGUUAUUAGGGAAGAACAUCUGUGUAAGUAACUGUGCACAUCUUGACGGUACCUAAUCAGAAAGCCACGGCUAACUACGUG